Molecule: long non-coding RNA, 218 nt
Organism: Bufo bufo (common toad)
Lineage: Eukaryota; Metazoa; Chordata; Amphibia; Anura; Bufonidae
Exons: 3
Source: RefSeq, a predicted model, not a curated record
CCCAUGUAAUCCAACAAAUAAUAACAGAUCAAAGUAUAUCUAACAAGGGUAAACACAUCUCUCUGAGCGCCAACUUGUUCGUCAUCACCAUUAAUACACUUUUCCUGAUACCCCUUUGUCUCCUCUUACUUGUCCUGUCUUAUAUCUCUACCGAUCACAUACUUUAAGCCUACCUAGCCGUCCUUUGAUGUCUUCCUGCAGAUAGAUAUUUUUAAUUG